UUGUGUUCUGUCAAGUUUGUUGUUGAUAUUUUCUCUCGCUGUGCUUUUAUUUCGCGUUUUUCAGCAAACAACACUUAAAUAUUUGACUAUAUAUUAUUAAUAAUAUCGAUAUAGAUAUGUCCCGAUUAUUAUGUCUAAACUUACAGGACUUCUAUUCAGGGCAAGAUAUUACAAGCGUGAUACCAUGCCCGAAAUAUGUGUGCAUGUGCUGCCUUGCUACCGAUGUCCGGUAUAUCAACUUAUCUAGUUGUAAACAUGCACAUUUUCUAAAUAUGUGCAUUAAUAUAAAGGUGGAGCUACACAAUCAAGUCAUUUGCUAUCAUUGUCAUAGACUCUUGAUCAAGAUAGAAGUAUUUAGACAGCAAGUUGAAGAUAGCUUAUUUAAAUUAACAUCUCAGAAGCCAGAUAAUCAAAACUUAGAAAAUAAUCGCUACAAUUUAGUCUCCACAAAAAUAGAAAUCACAGAUUCUAAUUCAGA
Plutella xylostella (diamondback moth) is the source of this 478-nucleotide long non-coding RNA. RefSeq lists it as uncharacterized. The record is from RefSeq and is a predicted model, not a curated record. NCBI's taxonomy places the organism in Eukaryota, Metazoa, Arthropoda, Insecta, Lepidoptera, Plutellidae.